CAGGGUGAUUAGAAUUUUAUAUGACAGCAAUUUUCUUUUAUGUAAAAUAUUAUAUACGAAAAACAAUAAAAUGUUUAUGGAUACUAUUGAUUAAUCAAGGUAUACGGAAAGAUCAGAUUACUGUUUACGAUUUGUUCACUUAAAUUAGAUUAAUUUUUACUAUACUGAAUUUUUAAUUAUUAAUGAAGCCAUAAAAAAAAUUAAUGAGAUAUAACUAUAAUACAAUUAUAAAAUAAAUACUGUAGAUGAUGGUACUGUCAAUUGCGUAUGAUUAGGCAUAAUACAAUAUGUAGAAUAAAUAAUAAUAUUUAGUUUUUUAUGUUUUCAGCAAAUGGGGUACAACCAUUUGCCUCCAGUGCUCUCUCUCGAUCCGCUUUUGUACCUAAUCUAAAAUUAUAAUGUUUUUAAAUAUUUUAGACGUACGUGUUACACAGUUUUUUUUAAAAAACUUUAAAUCACUCUCGGGCAAAAGAAUUUUGCGUUAAAAUGUGUUUUUCAACUACUUUUAUGUGAUGUUUGUAAAAAAUAGAAAUAAAUUAUGGGUUCUCAUUUGAAUUUUAAUAGUUCACCCCAAAAGGGCGUCUACAAUUUUAAAAAUCACA
Cinara cedri is the source of this 602-nucleotide non-coding RNA. The record is from the annotation of a GenBank genome assembly. Lineage: Eukaryota; Metazoa; Arthropoda; Insecta; Hemiptera; Aphididae.